This is a long non-coding RNA of Phyllostomus discolor (pale spear-nosed bat), 145 nucleotides long. RefSeq lists it as uncharacterized. NCBI's taxonomy places the organism in Eukaryota, Metazoa, Chordata, Mammalia, Chiroptera, Phyllostomidae. The record is from RefSeq and is a predicted model, not a curated record. The transcript is spliced from 3 exons.
AAAAAGGCUGAAAACUGCUGAUUUAUGUGUGCCAUGAAAAUUAUGUAUUUCUGCACUUCACAGUUACCAUUAGAUAUCUACAAAAUGAACUCAAAUGAACAUUUACUUUUAAGAAAUUCUGUGCCAAGAAUACUACUGAAGUAAA